CCCCUCUCGGCCGCACCUCUCUUCUCUCUCUCUCCGACCCAUCUCUUUCUCGUCUUCCCUCUGCCAUCACCGGAAACACAGCGCCCGGCCACCAGCUCUUGUCGCCGCCACCCCCAAUCGAUUCGGCACCCAAAUCCGACCCAAGCCCAAGCCUCACCAUCGACAUGCACCGCCGGCAGCCUCCACACUCGACAACCCAAGACUGCGCGCCACUGUUCCUCGACUCUCACCGAUCUCUGAACCUUUUCUAUUACCCACUACCGCCACCAACGAGCUCAGAGCAAGCUUUUUAUCAACACUCCAAAGCCUCGCCGCUGACCCAAAGCUGGAGAAUGCCGUGCGCGCCUUCGCCGGCGAUCUGGUUUCUACAAAGCUAGGUUUACCAUCUCCGGCCACGAUUGAGCCAAACCACCACCAUAGAUGGAGUCAGCGUUUUGUUGUUCGCCAAAACCCCAUGGUUUCGAUCUCUAGUUCCAGCCAGAACUCCUGCAUGCGCCGCGUGGAUAACCGUAGCUCUGCAUUUGGACAUUCAAAGAGUCUUGAUUGGGUAAUUUUCGUCACCUCUCCUUGGAUUAAGCCUUUUGGUUGAUAUAAACCGAAAACCCUAAUUUAUGUUGUCUGAUUUGGAAUGUGAGGGAUUUGGAAUCUGUGUUUUGGGAGAUUUUAGAGAACCCUGAGCUUUGGAUUUUGCGAAUUUGAAGUUUUGGAGAAAAGAAACUGUUGGAUCAAUCUCCAUUGAAAAUGGAUUAAGGUGUUCCAAAACAGUUGUCGAUUGGGGAAUGCAGCUACUACGAAUUGGUUUCUAUUUUGGAAAAGAAGAAGUAGUAAGUAUUGGUCUCUAACAAGCUACGGGAUUUGGUGUGGUAAUUGUAUUUUGAAAUGAAACCCGGUUAUGCUGCUUGAAUGGUUAAUGCUUAAAUAUGAAACUGAUUUUGUUGGAAACUUGGCUUGAAUGAACGAAUGUGAAUUAGCUUAUUGCAAAUUGAGGAUUGGCUUUGUUUAAUUAAAGAAGUGAGUUUGUUAUAAAUUUUGGAGAGGUAGUAAUGCAAGGUGGACAAAGAAUGGUUAAUUUGGUGAGCUCUUUAAGAAGCUAGUAAUAAGGAAACUAAGAGAAUUGAGAGUGGAAAUUGGUAGUAGAAACGGUAACCUUUAUGUGAUUAAGUGAAAUUGGGAUAUUGGAUUCCGAUAAAUGAAGUAAA
Molecule: long non-coding RNA, 1199 nt
Organism: Rosa rugosa (rugosa rose)
Lineage: Eukaryota; Viridiplantae; Streptophyta; Magnoliopsida; Rosales; Rosaceae
Exons: 2
Source: RefSeq, a predicted model, not a curated record